AUUUUGUGCGCGUUUUUUCUGUCAAUUAAACACAGGCCUCGACACAGCCGACACACUUCCAGAGGAUGACUGUACCCCACCAAAAACACCAAUACCAGUAAGCACUGGCGUAUGUGUGCGGCAAACAGUCUGGCAAGGCUGCAGUGGGAAAUUCGAUUGGGAUGUUCCCAUAACGUUAAAAGCACUUUUCGUUUCGUCAGCAGAGCCCAAACAGUUUAAAAAUAAAACAAAUGCAGCGUUCAUUGGUAUCAAAAUGCA
This is a long non-coding RNA of Drosophila serrata, 258 nucleotides long. Lineage: Eukaryota; Metazoa; Arthropoda; Insecta; Diptera; Drosophilidae. The record is from RefSeq and is a predicted model, not a curated record.